Passer domesticus (house sparrow) is the source of this 4590-nucleotide long non-coding RNA. RefSeq lists it as uncharacterized. The transcript has 3 exons. Lineage: Eukaryota; Metazoa; Chordata; Aves; Passeriformes; Passeridae. The record is from RefSeq and is a predicted model, not a curated record.
GUCCCUGGCACCCCUGGGUGCCCUUGUCACUUGUGGGUGACACCCUGUCACCUGUGAGUGGGUGUCCUUGUCACCCCUGGGUGGGCGUCACUGUCACACAGGGCUGGAUGUCGCUGUCAUCCGUGGGUGAGUGUCCCUGUCACCCGUGGCAGACUCUCCCUGUCACCCAUGUGUGCUGUCCCCGUCCCCUGCAGCUCUCUGUCCCCACCCCCAGGCGUGGCUGUCCCAGCCCUGCCACUCGCUGUCCCCGAGCCGUGUCCCCUGUCUGGGCAGUGGCAGUGGCAGUGGCAGUGGCAGUGGGUGGCUGUCCCCUCCCAGGCCGGUGCUGGUGGCUGGGCCCCCCGGCUGCUCACACUCAGCCCCGCUCCCAAGCCCUUCCCUGCAGCCUGCUAUUCUCCAUCUGAAGGCUGCCUGACAGCUUUAAUCUGAUGCUUAAAUGGAUGGGAGAGAAGCCGUCGUGCAGGAAGGCUGUAAUUUAAUUACUUGGGAAGCGCACAGUUUAAGACAUUUAAAAUGUAUUAUUUUAGCCUGGCUGCUCUGGCAAAAUCCAAUUGGAGUUUUGAGCGUGCUUAUUUCUAUUUCAGACUAACGCUACAAAAUGCCUUCUGUAGAGUGUGUUUGUUAAGAAAUUAAUUGUCUUUGAGGAAAGGAAAAUGCCCUGGGUGGGACUUGCUCCUCGAAGCAGAGAAAUGUGUUUGAAUUUUGCUUUUGUAGUGCUAUAAACCCAGCUCAGGCAGGAGGGGAGCAGGGCCUGGAGUCCUGAUCCCUCUCUGGGCUGGCCCUGUGCUCCCUCAGCGCUCUGCAAACGAGUUUUGGGAGAUGUUCAUUGGCAAAGCCCUGUCCAGAACACAAAUAAUCAGUGGGACAUGGGGUUUGAGGAGCAGGAGAAGCAGGAAGCUCAUGGAAAAUGAGGCCCUGAAGCUCCUGGGUGCCCCCUUUGAAGUGCUGGUGCCCUGUCUCUGACAGCUCCUCGGGAGGGAAGCUGGAGCAGGUUUGUCCUUGGUUUGGUUACAAAAUUCAGGAUUGGUGUGAGAACAGGCCCACAGCAGCUUACAGCAGCUGGGUGCAGCACGUGGAGAGCGUGGAUGCAGUGGGGACGGUGUCUGCACGGAGGGUGCAGGGCAGCACAGCUGGGCUGGGCUCCCCAGCUCCCCGAGGGCUCCUGAGCCACCAGGAGAACGUGCCCUUGAUGUAAACAAGCUGCCUCCGAGAUAUUUUGAGGAUGAAGUCAUGAAGAUUCUAUGGCAUACCUAUAUUUUCCUUUUGGCAUUGACUUUGCUGUAAAAGCUGACACAGAAAAGCAGCUUCAGCUGUGCUGGCUGGGGAAGGGCUGCAGCUGCUCCUCAGAGCCUUCAGCAGCCCACAGUGGCUGGGCUGGGAGGGAUGCCACGGGCAGGGACACCUCCCACUCUGCCAGGAUGCUCCAAGCCCUGUCCAACGUGGUAAUUUUUCCCCAAUAUUCCACCCAUCCCUGCUCUCUGGCCAUGGGAAGCCGUUCCUCCCACCCUGUCACUCCAGGCCCUUUUCAGCAAUCCUUCAAAUCUUUCAAAAAUUUUAUUUUCUCUGUCAAAAACCAAAAGUCCCGUGCAGUAAUUAAAACAUAAAUUCCAUUAUUUUCCCCAGUGGUUUCCCUACCUCAGGCUGGUUGUUUUUAAAACAACUCCUGAGAAUCACUUUUAUCUAAAUAUUGUUGCAAGGACAGAUUGCCCCUCCAAAGGGGAAUCUCCCCUUGCUGGGCCAUCCCUGAGGGUGCUCGGGGAUGCUGAUGGGAUGGAGCUGCCUUGGGCUGUGCCGAGAGCCCGGAGUUACCCUGGGGCUGCCCAGACCCCCUCCCCAGUCCCGGGGCUGUGCCAGAAUCAGCCUCUCCUGCCUAUGGAGAGAGCUCCUGUUCCUCACUUCCAGCUGGCUCCACUCCAGCUCGGUGAGUGGUGCUUUCCAAGGUGGGCCGGGGGUGGGGUGGGGAGGCACCCCUGACAGGCUCUUACGGGCUGUAGUUUGCCUCUUCGGGUGGGAGGUGGCACGGGAAGCAGGGCAGGUGGCAUUUCUGGUGGCUGUGCCCCUGCACACAUGCAUGACUCGGAUGUUGAUUUCCAAAAACUGGGAUGUGGUCAGCGGGCAGGGCAGGGCCUGUCCCAGGCCCUGUGUCCAUCCCCAGCAGCCCCACAGGGCUGGGGACCGCCAGGGGACACUGGGGACCGCCAGGGGACACUGGGGACCGCCAGGGGACACUGGGGACAGCGGGGGCUGCGGUCCCCCCUCGCACAGCCGGGAUGGAUAGAGCUCUCCCCGUUCCUCAUUUCUGGCACUAACUUCCUUCCAUCACGGGUUUUUUGCACGGAUCACGUAAUCCCCUCAGCCAGCUGAAAUCCUGCACUUUAAAAGCCUCGCUGCAGAAUGACAAAGAGUUUUUUUUAUUCCCUUGCAGCCGGGGUCGGCCGGUGACGGUGACGAAGCGCGGCGGGGGCAGCGCCGUGGGCUGCGCUGGGAACGCGCUGGGAAUGCGCUGGGAAUGCGCUGGGGAUGAGCUCGGGAUGAGCUCGGGAUGCGGGAUGUGCUGGGGCUGCGGGAUGUGCUCGGGAUGAGCUCGGGAUGCGCUGGGGAUGCGGGAUGUGCUCGGGAUGAGCUCGGGAUGAGCUCGGGAUGCGGGAUGUGCUCGGGAUGAGCUCGGGAUGUGCUGGGGCUGUGCUGGGGAUGCGCUGGGGAUGAGCUCGGGAUGCGCCGGCACCCCCCGGGGCAGGAGCUGUUCCCAUGGAACCCCCGCCCCGGCACCCCCCGGUGACCCCGGUGACUCUGGGGGUCCCCGGGCAGCCGUGCCCGGCUCCGGGCGGGCUCGGGGCCAUCUCCUGUGCCUUACCCACACUUAAUGCGUCAUCUGCAAGUUCAGCGAGCCCGGGAGAGCGCCGGGGAGCUGCAGCUGAGGCGGCCACCCACGCAGCCUGCCAGCACGGGAGGGGAGCUGGCAAGUGAGGAGGAGCCAGGGAACGGGGGCUGGCUGCCCUUCAGGCCCCUGCUCGUGCCCUGUGCCAGCCACGGCUGGGCUGGGUGCCCGGCUGGGUGCCCAGUGCCCAGGAGCCCUCCCAGCCCAUCACACGGCCCUGCCCUGUCUCUGCAGUUUUUGCACCAGGCAGUUCCUGUUUGGUGUCACUGAGCGUCCCUGCAGCACGGCCUGCGUGGCACGGAGCGGGCACAGAGGACACCUGGGACUGGGCAUGGCUGGCAGUGUCCCAGGCCAGGCCUGGAGCAGCUGGGACAGUGGGAGCUGUCCCUGCCAGGGCAGGGUGCAGUGGCAUCAUCUGCAGGGUCCCUGGUGACCCAGCCACUCCGGGGUUGUGUGAUCCAUCUGCCCUGGCAGCAGGAGGGCAGCGCUGCUCCUUCCCUGCACUGCCACUGCAGCACGUGAGCCAAGUGCAAUUCCCUUUCCUUUCUGUAACAGGUAGGAGAUCACAGCAGUUUGCAGAGCAGCAAACACGAGCGCAGCCACAGUGCAGGUGUCAGAUUGAAUGCCAGAGCGAAGUGAAGGAUGCACGUGCUCAAGCAGGAGCAGAAAUCUGUGUUUUCAGCUCGCACAACUUGGGCCACCCACGCUGGUCCAGCUGCUGCAGCUUUGUGUGUUUGUCUGGGCUGCUCUUCAGUUGGGAACAGAGGUAAAAAAUCCCUGAGAUUUGGUGCUCUGCAUAAAUAUCCAAACUUCAUCAGCCAGGAGCAUUUGGGCAACGCUCCCAGGGAUGCCCAGGUGGGAUUGCUGGGGUGGCUGUGCAGGGCCAGGGCUGGCACCGGGUGACCCUGGGGGUCCCUUCCAGCUCAGGACGUUCUGUGAGUCUGAUUCUCUUUGUCUGUGCUGCAGCUUUGUGGCCUGGGGCUGUCCUGACCUCUGUCCCCACAAGGAACCUUGGCUGGAUGUGGUGCCUUGGUCUGGGCACACAAAGGUGCCAGGGCCACGGGAUGAAGUGACGCUGUGGGGACAGAUGACACUGUGGGGAUCAAGGUGGCACUGUGGGGAUCAAGGUGACACUAUGGGGACGAGGUGGCACUGCGGGGAUCAAGGUGGCACUGCGGGGAUCAAGGUGACACUAUGGGGACGAGGUGGCACUGCAGGCACAGGUGGCACUGUGGGGAUGAGGUGACACUGUGAGGAUCAAGGUGGCACUGUAGGCACAGGUGGCACUGCGGGCACAGGUGGCACUGCGGGCACAGGAGGGCCCCUCUCAGCUGGGCUGUGUCCCGUGGAUGGGACGGAGCAGUUUGGGUCGCACUGGGGUAAAACAGGCUCCGUUUAGGAUCAGGGGAUGUUUCCGAGGGAGCAGCGGGCAGGUGGGCUGUGCAGAGCCAGGAAAGCUGCCAGCGGGGCUUGCUCCACCCCACCCUUUUUAUUUCGCAUUAUUGACUUCGGCUUUAACCCCAUCCUCGCCGAACCAUUUCUCCCCAGCUGUGAGCCCUUUCUGCGGCACCCCCAGGGCAGCGGGGCCGCUGUGGUUUGUCCCUGCCCGGGCUGCUGCGGGUGUCCUGGGGCGCUCAGCCCCCCGUCAGUGCAGCAGAGGGGUUUGCAACCCCCGGGCCACCCAAAGCUCGGGUUUGUGACCCCCGGGCCAC